UUGGCUGCUCUGUGCUGUUGCUGUCUCUUGGAUGCAUGCUUUUGAUGCUGUAAAUGAUCUGUGCCAUGUGUUGGUGGCAAAAGUUUAUUAAACCAAUUCUAUCAUAGUCUAGACUUUCUCUUUUUGUGUUUGUCUUUGGUGUCCUGUACUGUCCUUGAUAAAUAAUUUGAUAUUAAAUAUGACGAUGCACCUUGUUAUGGUGGGAGAAUUCAAGUGUCUAUUUGCCAAUUUAUACAUUAUUGUGCAAUGCAAG
This 253-nucleotide unclassified non-coding RNA is filed under the name Hevea brasiliensis (rubber tree). The record is from RNAcentral. Lineage: Eukaryota; Viridiplantae; Streptophyta; Magnoliopsida; Malpighiales; Euphorbiaceae.